This is an RNA transcript of Toxorhynchites rutilus septentrionalis, 2513 nucleotides long. RefSeq lists it as uncharacterized. The record is from RefSeq and is a predicted model, not a curated record. The transcript is spliced from 5 exons. Lineage: Eukaryota; Metazoa; Arthropoda; Insecta; Diptera; Culicidae.
CGUAAUCCUCAGUACCACUUCAAGCCGUUUCCAAGGCGGACGUGAACCGAGACGUAUCGAUAGGCUUUCAGUUGGUGUUUACUUCGCGAAACCAAGAUCGACGCGAGGCCAAAAGAAGAUCGCGGAUACUGCAGUUGCGCCCCUUUUAUGACUGAACUGUCCCACAUUUUGCCAUAGAAGAACCCACUCAACUAUCAUACAAAAGACCCAGUGUUGGAUAUUGAGACCAUCGAACUACAAGCAAAGGGCAGCCGAGCAAAUUUGCUUCCAUUCAAAACACCUGUUGUUGCCGAGCGUGAGGUGAAGGAGGAAACACAAAGAAAAACAUGAGUAAAUGUGCGGCGAUCGUAUUUUUCAUUGUGGCGCUCGCGGUGGCAGAGCUCGCGCAAGCGGCCAAAGAUACCAAGGAAAAACACAUCAAGUACAAGGAGAAAGAUCUGAUGCGAAAGUCGAUCGUGUACGAUAAAAACACACCCGAUGUAUUCUACUGUCCCACCAACAAGCCCACCGGGAUGGAUAAGAUGAUUGUGAGAUCUCGUCCACUGCACAAACUCUGCGAGUACGAGGGUAAACCUCUUCCGGAAGACUACAAAUCCGAUUGUUACAAGGAUCUGGACGAAAGUGACUAUGCCUGCAAGGAAAAAUACAGGAUUAUGAAACGGUACGCCAAAGAAAAUGUCGAAAUCUAAUCAAAACGCAUUUACAAACACGCAUAAAUAAAAACAACUACACAAACCAAACAAAGCAACGCCAAGUGCACUCGCGAAUUCUUCAUUAGACGCCUACACUGCGAGCCCAAGUUUUUGGCAAUGGAAAACGCACGCGAGCAUUCUCUCAUCUUUUUCUUCUACGCAAUAUGCACGAAAUUGAACGAUAAAAUUAGACUUAACCGACCUAAAGCCGCAACCCUCGAAUACGUACAACUGACCUUCUAUUAGUCGUUCUUCCUCUCUGUUAUACUACGAUCUUCUACGAAUUUUGACAAGCUAUACCAUUUUAAUAACGUAACGUUUCCUUUUAUUUCCCGAGUAACGAAAAUGUAUAUUCAAAAUAACAAACCGAAGCUUUCCUGCAGAAUUAAUGCCAAAACAGGCUACACCAGCUUCUCUAUAACUUUUUCGAAAGAUAAAAUGUGUAUAGCCAUAGUAAUGCUUUGAUGUUAGAAAGCAGUUGAUCAUUUAAAUAAACACGAACAAGAAAGGGUUCCAACAAUCGGUUACCAAAUAUUAACGAAAACUCGAAUUUAUACAAACCCCUUAAUCAGUAACAAGUAACUAAUUUUAUAAAAUUUGGCAAUGACAAUGAAUUUGGCAAUGAAUUGAAAGUGUUGCCAGUCCAUUGCAGACAACGUUCAUUCGAAUAAUUUCUUUUAGAAAAAUGCAUUAAUCGUUCUCUACAAACGGAGUUUUGCAACCGUUUCAUUCAAAUUAGGCUUUCAUCUAGUAGUAGUUCCAUAGUAUCAUUCCAAAAUAGCCGCUUCAUUAGUUUACCAUUCUACUGCCUAAAACACGGAAUGAAAUGGGUUUGCUAAUUGCGGCGGAACGUGGGUGCGUCAGCACAACACUCAACCACGGUUAAUUUUUUCGAGCUAUUAACAACUAUGAAAUGUGAUCAGGCUGGUGGAAUAAAAUAAAACGAAUCAUUUCAUAUUUAAAAAAACACUAACUGUUUGCUUUGGUUUCCGGAAUGACUAUACAAACUAAUCCGUUUCACUAAUUCAGUCAAUCCUUCCAACAUGGACAGUACAGUUUUGAUUCCCAUAGUCCUUUUAACAAUAAAACCACUAACGAUCUUGCCAUGAACAAUCGAGACAAAACCAAUUAACAACCGAUUUUUGACAACCGCGACAAGAAAAAAAAACAUGUACAAAUACGUAUAUACAUUACAUAAACACGGAAACUAUGAUUUGCAAACAAAACAUGCCACAAUUUUCACAAGGGAUCGCAGCUAACAGCAGAUGCGCAUGCACCCACCGGGCAGCGAUGCUCCCUUCAACGGAACGCGAUUGAGCCGAUUCAUGGACAUGGACGAAGAUAUGAAGAGGAUUAAGCCCAAACGACAACACUAGAUGGAUUGUUGAUCCCUGUUCUGGAAAGGGAGAAAAAAAGAACUACCGCAAUAAUGCCUGUAAAUAAGUGGAUUGCCAUAACGUCUAAGCGUUUGAGGACCUGAAACGAUGAAACGAAAUUUUCCGCUGAAAUCUAUAUACUCGCUCACGCAACUAUUUCAUUUUGUUUGUUCUAUGAAAUAGACAUAAUAUUGUGAUUGAUUUUACAACGUUGCGAAUGUUACGCAUCCAUCCAUAGAAGGAUGAAGAUUGUUUGUUGUUGAUUUUGUUUCGAAGUGUUAAGUAUAUUGAAAGUGAGAAGCAAAGAAAGUGAAGGAUUAACAAAAUUGUGCUAAAUACAUAACAAGUCGUGGAUUUCUACCAACCUUUGUAAAUUAGUUCUAUUUAAAUCGAACCGCAAUAGGGCUAUUUAAACUUAAAAUAAAAAAGUAACAAAUUUUUAGAA